Molecule: long non-coding RNA, 994 nt
Filed under: Homo sapiens (human)
Lineage: Eukaryota; Metazoa; Chordata; Mammalia; Primates; Hominidae
Description: non-protein coding lnc-RAB39B-1:1
Source: RNAcentral
GCAAGUGAAGAUGUUAAAGAGAUCUUGCCAGAGCCAGAAAUGGAAAGUACAGACCUCUGAAAAUAUCUAUUGAAAAUGGGCAACUUAUGAUUGGAUCAUAUAUAGUCAGCCUUCAGAUUCCUGGGAUAACGAUUAUGAUUCCUUUGUUUUACCCCUGUUGGAGGACAAACAACUGUGCUAUAUAUUAUUCAGGUUAGAUUCUCAGAAUGCCCAGGGAUAUGAAUGGAUAUUCAUUGCAUGGUUUCCAGAUCAUUCUCAUGUCCGUCAAAAAAGGUUAUAUGCAGCAACAAGAGCAACUCUGGAAAAGGAAUCUGGAGGUGGCCACGUUAAAGAUGAAGUAUUUGGAACAGUAAAGGAAGAUGUAUCAUUACAUGGAUAUAAAAAAUGUUUGCUCUCACAAUCUUCCCCUGCCCCACUGACUGCAGCUGAGGAAGAAUUAUGACAUUAAAAUCAAUGAGGUACAGACUGACGUGGGUGUGGACGCUAAGCAUCAAACACUACAAGGAGUAGCAUUUCCUAUUUCUCGAGAAGCUUUUCAGGCUUUGGAAAAAAUAAAUAACAGCUGAACUAUGUGCAGUUGGAAAUAAACAUAAAAAAUGAAAUUAUAAUUUUGGCCAACACAACAAAUACAGAACUAAAAGAUUUGCCAAAGAGGAUUCCCAAGGAUUCAGCUCGUUACCAUUUCUUUCUGUAUAAACAUUCCCAUGAAGGAGACUAUUUAGAGUCCAUAGUUUUUAUCUAUUCAAUGCCCAGAUACACAUGCAGUAUAAGAGAACGGAUGCUGUAUUCUAGCUGCAAGAGCCCUCUGCUAGAAAUUGUAGAAAGACAACUAUGGAUGUUGUAAUGGAUGUAAUUAGAAAGAUUGAGAUAGACAAUGAGGAUUAGUUGACUUCAGACUUCCUUUGUGAAGAAGAAGUACAUCCCAAGCAGCAUGCAGGAAAAAGAAGAAUUCGAAGACUAAUUAGGGGCCCAGCGGAAAAUGAAGCUACUACUG